CUUUUUGCUAUUUCUUGGGCCACUCCUGUGGCAUAUGGAGGUUCCCAGGCUAGGGGUCGAAUUGGAGCUGCCGCUGCCGGCCUACAUCAUAGCCACAGCCACGCCAGAUCCGAGCCACGUGUGUAACCUACACCACAGCUCACAGCAACGCUGGAUCUUUAACCCACUGGGCAAGGGCAGGGACUGAACCCGCAACCUCAAGGUUCCUAGUCGGAUUCGUUCACCACUGCGCCACGACGGGAACUCCCAUCUGAGUGUUUUGACAGAGCCAAAUAAAGAGGAUUAUGAGGUGGGAAGCUUCAGGAGUUUCCUAAUUUUUUUUGGGGGGGGGUCUUUUUAGGGCCACACCUGCAGCAUAUGGAAGUUCCCAGGCUAGGGGUCGAAUCGGAGCUGCCGCUGCCGGCCUACAUCAUAGCCACAGCCACGCCAGAUCCGAGCUGUGUCUGCGACCUACUCCACAGCUCACGGCAACGCCAGAUCCUUAACCCACGGAGCGAGGCCAGGAUCAAAUCUGCAUCCUCAUGGAUACAAGUCAGGUUGGUUACUGUUGAGCCGUGAUGCGAACGGCCCUCCUAAUUCUCUUAAAUCUAAAGAUGGGGAGUGUCUGGCUCCUGUUGCAUGACCAAUGGGAUCCUUAAGCCCUAAGGGCUCACACCUGGUGAGGUCCUCUGAUCUUUGCUUCGGCCCCGCUCCACACCCCCAUGCUAAGGAGAAGAUGACCACGUGCCUGGUGCCACAGACACAGGCCCACGAGAUAACGGAUGAGCAGGGAACCUCCUUCCGGCACCAGGUACCGACAAGCCUGGUGAAAGACUGUUUCUAAGGGGAACAAACCUAUUUUCAAGCUUCUUCCUCUGUGACUCUUCCCAGCCUUAGCAGAAACCUGAUUUUCCUCUAGAUGCCUUCCCUUUCCCGGCCUUUUCAUGGACAGGCUCACCCUCCCUUCUUGUCCAUAACUCAGAGCAGGAGGGAGCAGGGAUGUUUUCCUCAAUUCCGGCAGGUACAUCCAGACCUCUGUCCAUUAUCUCAGCCCCUUUGUUUCUGCCUUUGAUUCCAAGCCACCCUCUCACAGCACUAUCUAAUCGGUUAAGCCCCACCCACUAUUUUAUUUGACAUUUUUCAGCCACUGACUUAUAAUUUUUCCUCCUACCCUAUCUGGCAUCAUCAUUACCUGCCAUUAUUUUAAAACUUCAACUUGCUCUAACUUAGCAUCCGCUGCUCUAAUGGUCAUCAUUAGAGGGGAUUCCAAUGUGCAACCAAGGUUGAGAAUGGCUGUUUGAGGCAUCAAGGUCAGCUCCAGCUCCUGGAUGCCAUCCUCUUCUCCCCAAUCACUGGUUUACUCCUGGCUUCACCGCCUUCGCAUCUAGCUGGAGCUCCAGGGUCACAUGUUUCAACCAGGUUGUUGUUCAGCGGCUAGUCUCCAAACCCGAGGAGGACUGUAAGUUGCUAGAUAGGGACAUUUAACUGUCCCGAUUUAGGCUUUCUUAGGCCACCUGAGUCCCCAGUGCCACUCAGUGAUCAUUCAAGCUGGUUCACAAUAUUUGUUUUCCACGGCGACUGAUCUAAACUGUGUCCACUCUCCUCAGAUCCCAAAUCCAUCUCAUCCCAUCUCCCCUGCCCCUCAGCACAGCUCUUGAAUCUCUGCUACGUGUGUGUACAUCUGAGUAGUUUUUACAAGUAGGAUCCGCUCAUAGGGCCUAUUCCUGCUUUAGUGAGAUUAUACUCACAAUUGCCUAUUCUUUUUAUACCUACUCCUUAAAUGUAGAUUUUCUACUUUUUCUCAUUCAUUCAACAAACAUUUAUUGAAAGCCCACUUUGGGCAAGGGCCAAUGCUAGAGGCCAGAGAUACUGAGAUGAGAUGACCAAGACACCCCCACGUCCAUCAGCUGGUCCAUGUCUGCCGCCAGCCCCUCUUCCCUCUCUCUUGCCACAGUAAAGGACUUGGGGCUUCCUCCCAUCAAAGGCAAGCCUCUCAGCCAGCUCAGGCUCCCAGCCUCAUCCACUUUUUCAGAGAUUCUCUUCAUCGAUUCUCCAACCUCUCCCCCAUCACCAUCCAAACAAGUUCCAGUACUUCUCAUCUUAAAAAACAAUCGACUAGAAAAUUACCAUUCGAAUAUCACAGUCAUAACUGCUAUAGGCAAGAUCCAUAACUGCUAUAGGCAAGAUCCAUCCAAGUGGCUGCUAAAAUCAGUGGGUGGAAGUUUAAAGAGAAACUGGAUAUUUGCAUAAUCUAAAAGUAUCUCAACUUACAAUAUCUAUUACUUACAAUGGGAAAAUAAUAACUUAAGAGAAAUCUGGCAAACAGCACUUUAACCAAGUGUUCAAGGCUGACAUUACAAAUACUAAGAAUAUAAACUGCUUGUACCCUUGAUAUGAUGAAUUGACAAAGCAUGUCACCUCUCUGGUCCUCUUGCCCAAAUGUGUAACUUCAAUUUAAUCAGAAACAGAACAUUGGACAAAUCCAAAUCAAAGGGCAUUCUUCAAAACUACUUGACCAUGACAUUUCAAGAGUUAAGGUCAUGAAAGGCAAGGAAAAGACCGAGGAACUGCUACAAGUAGGAGACUUAAAAACCAUGACCACUAAAUAUAAUGUAGGAAAACGGAUCCGAUGCUGGUACAUUGAAAUGUAAAUCUCGCAUAAUCAUGUCCUGGUUAUACUCUUAUUUUACUUAUUCUUCAACCAUUUAAAAAACAUUUUAAAAUUUUUGUGAGAAAAGUGGUGAAAUCUGUAGAGUCUGUAGUUUUUUUGGUAAUCUUGUACCAAUGGUAAUUUCUCACUUGAUGAGUGAACUAUGGUAUGUUUCAUAUCAACAUUUAGGGAAAGCUGGAUGGAGGGUAUGUGGCAACUCUGUAUUGGUUUUGCAACUGAUCUGCAAUUUAAAAAUUAUCUGAAAAUUAAAAGUUAAAAAAAAAAAUCUCCCUGGAGCCAUCCAGCUAGGGCCUUCCUUCUUUAUUUUCCUUCAGAGGCAAACUCCUUGAAAAGAUGUCCCUGUAUACUGCUGUACUCUUACACCUCCCAUUUGCUCUAAAUCACUUUGGAUUUUGUCAUCAGUGACAUCCAAGCUGGUGAAUUUAUGGGAUCUUUCCAAGAUUUCAUCAUACAUGACCUCUCAGGGCCUGUAACUCAGCUGGCUGCUCCUUCCCUCUUGAAACACUUUGGUUUCCAAGAUACAAACCUCUGGGUUUUUCUUCUACUGUUCUGGCUCCCCACUUCUUAUUGCAACGUCUCAUUGUUGACAUUCCUAGACUUCAGUCCUGGGCUCCUCUUCUCUUCCUUUUGCAUAUUCUCUCCCCAGGGAAUCUUAUUCAUACCUUGGCCUCCAAUACCAUCAAUAUAGGCCAGUGAUUCCUAAAUUUGUAUCUCUAUCCUGGACCUCUCUCUGCAGAACUCCAGGCCCAUAUGUCCACAUAGAUACUUAAUGUUGGCACUGAAAGUCUCAAAAUUAAAGUCUGGAUAUUCUCUCUGUAAUGUGCUCUUCCAUUAAUUUACCCAUCUCAUUACAGUACCAUCGCCCACUUCCAUCCACCCAGUUGCACCUGCUAGAAACUUUGGUGUCGUUUCAUGCACCCGUUUAAUCCCCACCCAUGAAAUCAAUCCUUCAUGGAGUCCAAAAUAUAUAUCUAGACAACUUCCUCUUCUUUUUUGUAUCGACACCACCUACUAUCAUCUUUUGCCCAGACUAUUGUAAUCACUUCCUAACUGGUCUCCCUAUAUCCCUGAUUGCAUUCUCCAGCCCAGUCUCCAAACACUAAACAGUGACCUUUUGAAAAUACUACCCCAAUUAUAUCAUUCGCCCAUUUAAAUUCUUUCCAUUGCCUCUGAUGCCACACAAGAAAAACUCCCAAAUGAUUAACAGGCCUACCACAAACUUCGUGACUGGGUCUCUGUCUCACCUCAUCCCUUGCUUCCUGUGUUAUGCCCGAAUUUGCUUCUGCUCAAUCCCUAAAAUACAGUAGGCUCUUUGCCAGUCUCAGAAUUUUGCAUCUGCGUCUUCCUGAAUCUUCUCCCCACAACUUACAAAAUUGUCAGUAGGACAAUUGGUAACACAUACUUUGGUAGCAAACAACGUCAAUAUCUAAGUAGCUUAUGCCUAAAAAGAUUUAUUUAUUGCUCACAUCUCAGUCGGCUGUAGGUCAGGGUGGCUCUUCAAGUACAGACUCAGGGGUGCAGGGUUCGUCUAAAGUGUGGCAUGCUCCUAUUCAACCUGUGACCUUUGUAGCUGCUGUGGGGAAAGAAGAGGGUGUGAUCGAUGAAGCAUGGGGCCAGCCCUGGAAAUGGUACACUUCAUCUCUGCCCACACCCCAUUGGCCAGAUCACAGUCACAUGACCCUAGCCUAACUGCAAAGGGAAAAAAUAUACUUUUCCUGUGUGUCCAGGAAGAGGAAACGAGACUGGUGAGCAUCAGGCCAGUCUCUGCCACAUCCUGGUUAAAACGUAUUCAUCUUUAAAGAAUCAGCUUAUACAAUACUUCCUUAUAAGGGCCUUCGACUUCCUCCAACCUAAGUUAGGUCCCCCUGAUAUAGUCUAUUGUGGCGCCUUGUACUUUUCUUUUACAGCAACAGUGGGAAGUUUACAUUCCUUAUAUGAUUAUUUGAUACUUAUUUUCAUUUCUAGACCAUAUGCUGUAUAAGAGUAAGGAUUAUAUCUGAUUUGCUCCCACUGUGCCUCUAGCAUCCAUCACAGUACUUGGUUCAUAACUGGUGUAGAAGAUGUUGAGUGAACAAAUGAACAGUUGCACACAGUCCUUCUCUAGCUCCAAACAGCAUGCUACUGGUGGAGGAGAAGGUCAAGUAGGCAGGCAGUCAUGGUUUAGUGGGAUGAAUGUUCCAGGCAGGUGAGUCCAGGAAGCUGAGGCAACUUGAAGUUGCUGCUGAGGCUUCUUUACUUCCUCUUUAAUGGCAACCUAAUUCAGGGGCCUGCAAGCUAGAGUCUGCAGGCCAAAUCUGAUUUCCCCUGCCUGUUUUUUUUUUUUUUUUAAUGGCACAAGAGCUGAGAAACAUUUUUAUUAUAUUUUUAAAUAUUUGAAAAGAAUUAAAAUAUAUCAUCACGUGAAAAUUAAAUUUCAAUGUCCAUUAAUAAAGUUUUAUUGGAACACAGCCAUAUCCACUAGUUUACUUAUUGUUUAUGACUGCCUUCAUGCUGCAAUAGGGGAGGGGAAUAGUUUUGAAAGAGACCACAUGGUCUGCAAAGCCUAAAUUAACUACUUACUAUGUGGCACUUUACGGAAAAAGUUUUCUUUCCUCCUGAUCUAAUCCAGGCUUAGCUUAAAAAUUCACUUCUGUGUGAAUUAUAUCUUAUUUUGUUUCUUUAACCCUCUCCUUUCCACAUUAUCUAUCCACUGCCAGAAAUUCCCAUAAGUUCUAUCUUUGGAACAGUGUUCUUGUUCUGCCAUCUUUAUCCUCCUCCCUUUAGUUCAUCUAACCACUGUAACAACUUCCAAGAGAAUAGCUUGAUAUUGUAGCCACUCUUUGAAAUAAAUAAAUAAAAUCUGCACUGCUUAGCACUGUAGUCAAGGUUUUCUGUUAUCUUAAUGAACUUUACCUUUUUUAGCCCUGUCUCUUACUUCCACUCAACCUUAAUCACUUAACCCACCCUUGCCUUCUCUAUGUCCAGGUCUAUGCUCACAGUUACCAUCUCUGUGUGAAAUAUUUGAUGCUGGUAUUUCUAUCUCACCUAUCCUUUAAGUUGGUUAUCUCAAAUCUCUUCUUGCCCUCAGAGCCUGCCCAGCUCCUCUACUGAGAAUAAUUAUUGCCAUUUGUGCAGUUCUCUAACAGUUUGUACGACUGGUUUUAUUUCAAAUUCUGCUUUACGGUUUCCUGUGUAUAUGCAGAUUGUCUGCUUCUCAUGUUCUAUUGAAAGCUGUUUAGGGGCAAGAAUUGUCUUCCAUUUUAUUAAUCUUUGUAGCCUUUGAUGCGUCUUGUACAAAUAGAAAUGUUUAUUCUUUGCAAAAGUCCUCAUGGAGAGCUGGGAAUGUGACUUUUUUUUUUUUUUUUUUUUUUUUUUGCUGUAUCUAUGAACUACCCGUACUUAAGCACGAACCCCACUUAACUUGUUUAGGGCUCACGAGGGCGAGUAACACCUCUUUAACACAUGCUGUCUUCCAAUCGGUCACAUACCUGCGGACUCACGCCUGGGACCCUCAGGUAAGUCUGCAAACACGUGCGUAAGAAGCGCUUUCCUCAAGCUCCUCCUCU
RNAcentral lists this long non-coding RNA (6195 nucleotides) under Sus scrofa (pig). RNAcentral's name for it is "lncRNA (ENSSSCG00050077150.1)". The record is from RNAcentral. Lineage: Eukaryota; Metazoa; Chordata; Mammalia; Artiodactyla; Suidae.